CAUCUAAGUACCCUGAGGAAAAGAAAUCAACCGAGAUUCCCUUAGUAGUGGCGAGCGAACGGGGACCAGCCCUUAAGCUGGUUUGAGAUUAGUGGAACACUCUGGAAAGUGUGGCCAUAGUGGGUGAUAGCCCCGUACACGAAAAUCUCUUGCCAGUGAAAUCGAGUAGGACGGAGCACGAGAAACUUUGUCUGAACAUGGGGGGACCAU
Molecule: ribosomal RNA, 210 nt
Filed under: Pseudomonas sp. 250J
Lineage: Bacteria; Pseudomonadati; Pseudomonadota; Gammaproteobacteria; Pseudomonadales; Pseudomonadaceae
Description: partial 23S ribosomal RNA
Rfam family: Bacterial large subunit ribosomal RNA
Source: RNAcentral